GAUCUGGUUGACCCUGCCAGACUGGUGGGCUAGUUCGGAAGGCUAAGCCAUGCAACUUGGGCAACCUGUGGAACUCUGUCGUGAGACGGAGGACAGGGAGCAGGCCACUGCUGCGUUAGAUCGUGGUAACGUGUGCGCAAGGAAGGUAUAUCCGCGGGAAACUGCGGGCAAUGCCGAGUGGGCCGGUGGACACAGGAAGUGCCGCCGGCUGUGCGCGUCGAGCACGAACCCAUCAGGUAGACGGUAGUGUCGUGGACUACCGUGCCGGUAACGGGUACGGGGGAUUGGAGUCCGAUUCCGCAGAGAAAGGCUGAGAGACAGCUUUCAGGGCCAAGGCCAGCAGCAGGCGCGAAACCUGUCCAAUGGCGGAUCGCCGAGACGGUUAAAGAGCCUCCUUUGUCCGUUCGCGGAAAAGGAAGAGACGGUCGUAGAGAGACCGACGAACGCAAUCUGUGCUAAACUCUGGUGCCAGCAGGCGCGGUAAUACCAGGACAGCGAGCCCACCAGGUUGUUACUGAGAUUAGAGGUUCCUAGUCGGUACUGCGUAGCAGCGAGGGACCGCGCUUAAACUUGGGUGCUCAAGGAAGAGAGUGCGCGCGCGAUCGCUCGUCCUCUUCGGAGGAGACAAGGAGAAACCCGACGCGAGGAGUAUUGACCGGCGAGAGGUGGAAUUCGUUGACCCGGUCAGGACUACCAGAGGCGAAAGCGCCUCGCGAGGGUUUGCUCGUCGACCAAGAACCAAAGUUGGAGUAUCGAUAACGAUUAGACACCGUUGUAGUUCCAACCACAAACGUUGCCGACAGUCUGUGGGGCGACGCGUCUUCGGACGGGUCGGCUCCGCGGACAGCGCGAAAGCAUAGUCACCGGGUCGCUUGGAGAGUAUGCUGCCAACAGUGAAAUUUAAAGGGAUUGACGGGGUCUCCCACAAGGACUGGAAUCUACGGUUUAAUUUGAUUCAACACAGGACAACUUACCAGGGCAUAGUCGCGUGCGAGGUGCGGACGCAAGGCGUAGCAGAGGGUGCAGACCGGCGCCGAUCGCGGCAAGGCUUGUGCAUGGCCACCCUAAGCUGAUGGAGUGAUCUCCAGGUUAAUUCCGACAAUCAGCGAGACCCGAACACGCAGUUCCGUGAGGCUGAGUGCACUGACGUUCAAACUGUAGGGAGGAUGGUCAAAGGUAGGUCCGUGAUGCAGCCAGAUGUCCUGGGCGACCCGUGGGUUACAAUGGGCUACGAAGGCUGUGUCCUCGCAGGAGUGCGAGGCAGAUCAGCAAUGUAGCCCGUAGUGGGGAUUGUCGACUGGAAAGGUCGGCAUGAACGAGGAAUUCCUUGUAUGCGCGUCUCAACAGAGCGCGCAGAAUAGGUCCCGAAGACUUGUACACACUGUCCGUCGCUAGGGCCAACGCAUUUUGUGGCGAGUAGCCUGGACUUGGCGCAAGCCGAGGAAGGGACGCAAGCUGUGGAUAGCGGAGCACCUAAAAGUCGUAGCAAGGUAUCAGUAGGAGAACCUGCUGAUGGAUCAUG
RNAcentral lists this ribosomal RNA (1522 nucleotides) under Paramikrocytos canceri. RNAcentral describes it as "bacterial SSU rRNA". It matches the Rfam family "Eukaryotic small subunit ribosomal RNA". The record is from RNAcentral. Lineage: Eukaryota; Endomyxa; Ascetosporea; Mikrocytida; Mikrocytiidae.